Molecule: ribosomal RNA, 253 nt
Filed under: uncultured bacterium
Lineage: Bacteria
Description: partial 16S ribosomal RNA
Rfam family: Bacterial small subunit ribosomal RNA
Source: RNAcentral
UACGGGGGGGGCAAGCGUUGUUCGGAAUUACUGGGCGUAAGGGGCUCGUAGGCGGCCAACUAAGUCAGACGUGAAAUCCCUCGGCUUAACCGAGGAACUGCGUCUGAUACUGGAUGGCUUGAGUUUGGGAGAGGGAUGCGGAAUUCCAGGUGUAGCGGUGAAAUGCGUAGAUAUCUGGAGGAACACCGGUGGCGAAGGCGGCAUCCUGGACCAACACUGACGCUGAUGAGCGAAAGCCAGGGGAGCAAACGGG